RNAcentral lists this transfer RNA (47 nucleotides) under Camelus dromedarius (Arabian camel). RNAcentral's name for it is "partial tRNA-Ser". Lineage: Eukaryota; Metazoa; Chordata; Mammalia; Artiodactyla; Camelidae. The record is from RNAcentral.
AAGAACUGCUAAUUCAUGCUACCACACCUAACAAUGUGGCUUUUUCA